Molecule: non-coding RNA, 148 nt
Filed under: Gorilla gorilla gorilla (western lowland gorilla)
Lineage: Eukaryota; Metazoa; Chordata; Mammalia; Primates; Hominidae
Source: Rfam by way of RNAcentral
GCCAGGCAUGAUGGCUCAUGCCUGUAAUCCCAACUACUGGGGAGGCUGAGGCAGGAGAAUGACUUGAACCCGGGAGGUGGAGGUUGCAGUGAGCCGAGAUCAGGCCACUGCACUCCAGCCUGGGUGACAGAGAGAGACUCUGUCUCAA